UUUGAUACCCUAUUUUGAAGAUAUUUAUUAAUACCUAAUUAUUAUUAGUUAUAUUUUUAAAAUUUAAAAAAUAAGGCGGUAUUUUAGACUUUUCAGAGGAACCUGUUUUUUAAUUGAUAAUCCACGAUCAAAUUAAAUUAAAUUAGAAAUUUAUAUAUCGUUGUAAUAAAUAUUUUUUAAAAAUUUAAUAUUUAUAAUAUUUUUAAUAUAAUAAUUCAAAUCAAGAUGUAGUUAAUAUUUAAGAUUUAAUGGGUUACAAUAAUUUAAAUUUUUAGUUUAUGAAUUUUGAAUUUAUAAUAAAUUGGAUUUGAAAGUAA
This 317-nucleotide ribosomal RNA is filed under the name Diomus sp. EL-2009. Its description in RNAcentral is "partial 12S ribosomal RNA". Lineage: Eukaryota; Metazoa; Arthropoda; Insecta; Coleoptera; Coccinellidae. The record is from RNAcentral.